Molecule: long non-coding RNA, 549 nt
Filed under: Medicago truncatula (barrel medic)
Lineage: Eukaryota; Viridiplantae; Streptophyta; Magnoliopsida; Fabales; Fabaceae
Description: long non-coding RNA (MTRU_LNC008129)
Source: RNAcentral
AAAAUAAGCCAAUAAUAUUGGAUACCCAUCAAUAGUUUUUUUGUUUAAUAUGCACAAACAAGUCAGUCUUGACCAUAUACAAAAAAAAAAAUCGCUAUUAGAUCAAUAAAUCUCAUCAUAUCUUAUUUUAUUCAAUUGUAAGACUAAUUGAUCAAAUGAUUAAAAAAAACAAAAUUGUAUAUAAUACAAGACUUAUCUCACUUCUGCGCACUAUAAAAUUGCCCCUCUGAAAGCAUAAGUAUAAAAUUGCAAUGAUUCAAUCAAGAAGUCCUAGCUUAACUGGCAAAAUGCCGAAAUUGUUAGGCCGGAUGUCAUGACCGGGGUUCGAAUCCCGAUACCUCCACUUGUGUAUACUUGUGUAUGUAAGUUUAUAAUGGCUUUGCCAUUUCGUCUAUCUACCCAAAAAAAAAAAAAUUGCAAUGAUUCACAAGACAGAAACUGAUCCUCAUUCACAAUGAGCCAAAAUAUGUGUGCUAGUACUUACACUUAGACCUCCUCAACACUCAGGGAUGAAGAUUUAAUCAUAAACACGUCCAACUCCAUUUGCCA